UCGCGCGCGCUCACUCACCGUGAUUAGGGUUUUGUGGAAAAACAGAUUUCAAUUAUUACACCUGUUGCUGCUCGGUCACCGAACACCCCUUCCAAGUUUUCCAACUUCUUGGCUUUAUAGCUCUUUUUUUUAUGCAUUUUCAUAAGUUACAUGGAGCGUGCUUCCUGCUACGCAGCAAUGUACUCAGCAAAAUCGUUCCUUAAUGAAUGAAAAACAGUAAAAGACUUGGAAGGCAAAAGUACACUUUAUUUAAGUAGACAAGCUGUCAAAUAAAUGUUUUUCCGACAUAUAGAAAUCUUUGUAUAUAACUUAUGGGUUCACUUUUAUAAUCCUGAUUUUAAAGCUGCUUUCUUUAAGUGCAAUGUACAUCAGUGCGCUACUCCGUGGCCUUUCGCAGAUGGAGUGGCGAUAGAGUGAGCGGAACUCCCCCUAGAUGGCCCCGCGAUAGUCCAUUCAGCUGGUAAUCACAGGCUCUCGAGUUACCACUCGCCAUUUAAGGUGUGAUCGCACUAGGAUGGGCCAUGAAUCGACAUCUACUUCGACUUCGACUUCGACUUCAACUUCGAUUCUACUUCCACUUCCACGGAGACUUUAACUUUAGCUUCAGCUUCAACUUCAACCGGUAGCCCAGGUCCCUCCAUUGGCCUCAACCUCAACACGUUUACGCAUCAAUGCCGAUGAUGACUCCUCGAGAGUCGGACUUGUGUGGAAAUUGAUUUCAGAUUUUUAUUGUUUUAGAGCGCUUCAUAUCUCACGUCAUCGCGGGGAGUGGAGCCCGCUUAUUGAUACAGCCAUUGGCCAAUAAUAGAGUUGUUAUUGCACUUUAAUUGAAGUUAUGUCUGUGGCGCCAUCGACAGAUCCUAACACCUGGCUGCAAGUCUCGUGAAUUCUCUGGGAAUGAGUAAUAUUUGUAUGCCCGGUUUUUCAUUAUAUAACAUGAAUUGGGAUUCACAGACUCUUGAUUAUUUUGCUUAAUUUAAAGGCUUUAAUGCUUAAGGGCUGAAAUAAUAAACAAGUGCUAGAGGUAAGCAGUUUA
Molecule: long non-coding RNA, 1036 nt
Organism: Drosophila yakuba
Lineage: Eukaryota; Metazoa; Arthropoda; Insecta; Diptera; Drosophilidae
Exons: 2
Source: RefSeq, a predicted model, not a curated record